Long non-coding RNA from Bombus huntii, 9766 nucleotides. RefSeq lists it as uncharacterized. Lineage: Eukaryota; Metazoa; Arthropoda; Insecta; Hymenoptera; Apidae. The transcript has 3 exons. The record is from RefSeq and is a predicted model, not a curated record.
ACAUGACAGUAACUUUAAUCAUUAUAUCCGUACAUAUUUCUUUAAUGAUCGCGUUAAAGUCACAGCAUUAUGCGAAAAAUAUAAAUCUAUCAAAUCUAAGAGGAAUUCUUUCCUUUGGUUUUCUUACUUCGUUGAAAUCCUUCAUAGCAACGAUUUUCUAAUAUUUUUAAGCAAGAUAUAUUUAUAAUACAGAUUCGAUACAACGAGUCAAGGGAAAUAACCAAUGACACGUUUUCCACGAAAACUCGCUAGACAGGGCAAGACGCGUGGUCACCUGACCUACGAUGAGGUUUAACGUCCCUAUUAGCGGAUGUCAUUUGAAUGGGAAUGUAAUAAAAGUCGCGUGCAGCAUAAUUUAAUUCAAGGUCGUACACACUCGCUUUCGAGCAGAUGCAAAAGAACGCAAUUACCGGGGACCGGCCGGCGUGUAGAGCGUGCUUCUGUGCGCUUGUAUUAUAAUUAUACAUGCGCGUCGUCGCGCUUUUUAUCAGAGAAUAAUAUUUCGUGGCCGGAGCCGUGGCUCGUGACGGGCCUCGAUUCCGAAAGAAUUCACCGGCUGCCGGCCGGUCCACGGUAAAUUAUGUGGUAUGCAUAAUUGCACUCAAUGAAAUUUGCGUCUCUGCCGCUUUGGGAACCUCCUGGUCCCCGUGUCUCGUUCUCCUCUUGUGCCCGUUCCCCUGCCCGCGUCCCCUUAUCAAACUCUCAUCACCGUAUUAUAUUAGUCGGCGUGUCCUCGUCACGCGUUACGCGCAACUGAAUCAUGCAGCCGCGAUGAAAUCGUGCCAAAUUGAGAAAGCCGCGACGAUAAAUUACGGGAUAAGCUGAUGGAAAUUACGCAUUCAGAGAUUUUUCGAACGAGAACCUGGUAAAACGAGCACACACGCACGAGGGUCAUUCAUGUAUACAACGAACACACGUGAAUAUCUAAAAGAAGAAACAAAGUUCGUGGAGAUAGCAAAGGGCGGUUUGGGAGGCAGCGACCUCUGGUCGAGGGUAGUCGUUGCACAUGGCAGACAGAAUAAAUAAAAAAAGAGAAAAACCGCUCAUUUCAGCCAACGCGCUGUAAACAUCUGCUAGGCGGGGGCACUUUGGCCCGCGAGUGGUUCUCAACCAACGCAGAUUUGGUCCUUCGAAAUGCAUCGUCGACAGUUUCUAUCACAUUCUCAUCCCCUCCAACCGAAUUCUCUCCCUUUUCAGCUCGUUUCUUUUUCUUACCCACGAUAUUUAUCGUUUACCUCCUGCAUUUUAUACUCCUCGUCCCCUCGGCCUCUCAUUCCCUAAGGCUUAAGUGUCGAUCGAGUUUCGAGUAUGAGAACGGAAAGAGACCCGGUGUGGGUCGGCAGCUGCUUCGAAGACCAACAACCAACAAAGGCAACAACCACCGUACCCUAUCACGGGUCGUUACUAUAUUACUACUACUUCUAUCGUCAGUAUGCGUGUUACCGAUUUUCUCCAGUUCUCCUUCCUUCUUGAGAGACAUCUCAAAAAGAACGCAGAAAAGUUCAAGUUACUUCACUCGAGCAGCGUUUUCAAGAAGUUGUAUAUACAAGAUCGAAUAACCACUGUUCGAGAAUCCGAGAUCUCGUUCAUCCUUCUUCGAUGUCGGUGACGAAGCUCAAGGUUUCGACGGACGGAGAAAGCGCGGGAAGUUUCGACAUCGUCGGCCGCAAAUUGAACCGAGGAGGAACGGGCGAACGAUUCCACGGCCUCGAGAGAACCGACGGAACGAGAUGAAUGUCGAGGCACAAUCGCCGUGCGUGACGAAGUGUGUCGUUAGCGACGAAAGAAAGAAAUUCGACGACGAUGACGACGGUGCAUUUAAAGGAGAGCUCUCUUUCUCUCUCACAGCUUUGAAAUUCUUGUCGCCGGCGGAAACUCUUAAUUUUGUGGCUGAUGUUGCGGCCGAAGGAAAAGGGACGAACUUUCGAAAACGAUCAUGGCCAAGGCCCCGUGCAUGGGUCUGAAAUCGUGCGUCCAUUUGUGCUCGAAACAAUUUUUAACAUAAUUGCGCCUUUCCUCUUCCUGGGCACAUGUAUAUCUCUCUGUCAUCGCGUUACACCGGAAUUAUUAUGAAUAACAAGGAACCGCAAUAAUGACCGUUACGACGUUUUCAAAGGAGACAGUUGGUUUUUUGGUUGUGGUCAAACGCGACUUGAUCUACUUGAGAAAUGACUAUAACAAAUGGAAUUAAAUGCAUAAUACAAAUAGAAACAAUACGGAGAUAGAUAUUUUUCAGGGACGUUAGUUGAUACGACGAGAUUUCUUUUAGAAGAGUAUCCGACUUAUAGAGAACAACACGCGUGAGUUUACCAUUAUAAAUUUGUGAAGAGCAAAUAAAAGUCCUAUACACUAACGUUUUCGGGAUCUGCUCCUCCCCCUACCUCGAAACUUAUGUAGCGUUUGACCAUACCAAGCGAACAAGUCGUAAAAUACUGAGAAAAGAUUCUCCCGUCUCAUGGGCAGCUUUUUACGAAGGCGCGUGAACAGCGGUAGGGCCAGUAUGGGUCUAUUAACACGGUUUCAUCGUCGACACAAAUCUUCCAUUUCGGUGGAAAAAGUAAGCUGGCGGUAGCAUCGAGCACGUGCUGCCGUCACGAUAAAAAAAUGUCUUCUCUUCCUGCCAUUCGAAUUUCUACUGAUGUUUCUUUCACGUAUCAUUGGGAAACGAUACAUUAAACGUUGUACAGAAGUCAGGAACACGUCGCCGUUCUGUACUCAUGGCAUACACACACAAUCGAACGACAUUUCCUUCGUGUUACGGUUAUGUGCGCGACGAAUAACAACUACACACGUUCGAGCUUCUAUCUCGUGUACCGGCUACAAAUAAACCAGCCUCGAUAACCACGUUCGCCUAUUUCGUUAAACAAACAAAACUGUCCUCUAGCAGCUGGCACGCGUCGCCUCUUUGCUUUUCCAGCAAAGACGGAGAAAGUUUCGCGCUUCGAGCGGUCCUAUUUGCAGGCUGGAUCUCGUGUAUAUAACCGGUGCUGUUGUGCCGUGCGUACGGCGACGUUUGCGCACGUGUGUGCGUCACGUUUAACAGAAUCGAGGGACGGUUAAUAGCGAAACGCUUCUUCCUUCCCAUCGCGACGAGGCAGCAGCAACAGCAGCAGCGGCAACACGCAGCAUCACGCGCGCUACAGUUCGCGUCGCGCCGGUUACGCGACGCUGCAGCUAACGACCUGGAUAACCAGCCGUGAUGUUUCCAAAGUAACGUCAUCGUUCGCCGCGAUGCGACACGAGGCGACGAGUCUGACGACGGAGUCGCUCAUUACAACUUCCGGUCCAGGAGAGCGAGCCAGAAAGAGAGCGGCCCGAGGGAAUGAGAAAGAUGGAGAGAGACAGAGAUCUCGAGCGGCGAUGGUGGGGACAAGAGAAUCAGCAGAACAGCGCAGCGGACCAACUGGUCGACGGAAUGAGACAGAGAGCGCGAGCGUGAGUAAGAUGGACGAUGGGGAGGGAGAGAAGGAGCGAGAAUCGAGCGAAAAUGCUCAACAAAUAGCCACAUCCUCAUAAUGGAACGGCGUAUCAAACUCAUUAGACAUCAUUAUCGAAUCGACACGAUUACGUUCCGCAGAAAGAUCCGAUCUUCCCGUUAAAAACGAAUGAUCGGCUCAGAUAGACGCUUGAUCGUCAUCAUGGGCGCUGAUACGAUGCGCGUACACACGCCGUACGUUGAGAAGUCAGCGUAUUAGGCAUACACGCUAAAGACACUCUCUGCAUCCGUCGAGAAAUUUAGGCGUACGAGAGUGCGGGAACCCAGUCGCGCUAGAGCAAUGAUUCAUGCCAGGUAUGUUAAACUGGUUCCGAGCGGACUGCAGCCGCUGGAAAAAAGGCUCGUAGCCCGAUCUACGAGACACAAUGCAACGUUAGAGAGAAAACAGCUACGUGGACGUAUGUAGAUCCGCAACCCCGACCCCGCUCCCGUCAAAGGGUGGAGUGGUUGGGAAAGCAGGAAGCGAACGGAUUUUAUGUAAGAAAGGAAAAUCAUAAUGCACAACUAUACGUGUCUGUUCGAGGAAAAUGAUUGGAAACGUCAACGAGGAAUCCGAGAUUCGCGUUACGAUUUCUUCGUAUUAUACCCCUUGCUUCGUCAUAUAAUUUUCUGCAUAGUACAGUGCCCAGGAUAAAUUUCCAGAUAAACGAUUCUGCACGUUAUAUUAUUAUAGACGUAACCUUGCUUCUAAUCGAUGGUUCUAUAGGAGUGUUGGCUGAUUUAAAAAAAUACCAACGACUAAUUUCACGUAGUAAAAAUACCGGCCUCGUAAUAUAUAAUAAAUGAGAAUAUCGAUCUAAACGUGGGUACGGCGUAAUCGUUCGAUGAGUACGCGCUGCGUACGCCACGCAGAAGCAUCGAGUCAGUGCUUACUCGCGCGCGUUUCGGUCGCACGACACGCCAGCGGUUCUCAAUCUGAAGAUUACGGCGUGUAAAGAGGAUGCGAGAAAGCCCGGCCGAACGGAAGACACGAUAAGCACGUACGGAAAUCCGUAGCGGGUUCUGAAUUUAAAACACGAACAGUCUUGACACCGUUCUAAGUGUCCGAGUCUAAUGUUAUUGGACGGUCAAUAUUAGCGCGCUUCACGUGAUGAGCGACGAGCACCAUACGGCUUCCUUUUACACGCCACCGUUUUCCCUCCUAUCGAGGAAUGCUUUAGGCAUCGCUGGAACGACGGCGUUGCCAGGGUCUGCAGGUACGAAAGAAACGAAGUUAUACUCGGUAUGCAAUAUGGACCGAUGCGUGCCUUGUGGAUAAAAAUGGUCGGCGUAAAUUUCUCUCACCUUGAAACUACAUAGUUCGAUGGGAAGACGAUUCGUCGAAGGAUCGCGUGUACGCUUUUGACAUUUCGUGGAUUGCCGUGCGUUAGCCCCGAUUUCCCUAUGAACGAAUCCUGCGACACCCCAGACGAAUUUAAAGCUUUUAUGAAACGAGAGGGGUCGACCAAUGACUAAGGGUAAAAUACGAAAAAAGAGACAGACAGAAAGAGAACUGUAGAAAUAGUAGGGCGGUAGAGGACGGAGUGAGCAAAUUGAAAAGUGGAGGAACGAGGAGGGAACAGGACGACGAAAAAGGACGUAGAAAAGGGAGCACGCGGCGAAGAAGAAGAAAAGGCUCGCUUUUCAGACGGUUCAAUAGAUUUCGAUCUGAGCGACUUUUUUCUGAGCUCGAAACGAAACGACGAACAAUGGGCCAGACGGAAACCAUGGCCGAGCUUGAAGACUUCCCGUGUGUACGAUUCCACGUGCACAUGUGUAUGCACAAGGGAUAGAAUGAUCGUGUGCGUGUACAUCUGGAUCGACCGGGUCCUGAACGAGAACGGAAGUUUAAUGACUUCAAGUGUCGGUGAAAAUCAGGAUCAGCUGGGGGCUCGUGUUCCGCGCGCUUUGUCGCUUGAUGACGUAAAAAGAAAUACAGAACCCUUGUCCGAAGGUUACGAAAGUUCAUCCGGUGCUGAAUGAAACGCGAGGAUGAAGCAGAAAUAUCUAAUACAGGAAUUUUUAAUUUUUAUGCGUAUACCUGGAAACGCGAAGCUGGUAAAGCGGCCAGUUCUCUCCUAUCCGUUGCUCCCGUCUGGUGGGCCCACGAGAGAGAAAGUCAGUCGACAUCGAUUACGUAUAGCAGUUGGGAGUCGAAGGUCCCCCAGCUGUUCUUCCGUGGAGAGCGAUGGACCAACGCCUCCUUUGAAAGGCCUCUUGCAAGCUGAUGAUGUUUAUCCGCUGGAUCUCGCCGAAAUUGAUUGUUUCCUCCCGACUGUAAAAAACGAAACGUUCGAUGUAUAUAAAAAAGAAGGAAGGAAAAAAGAGAUGGGGAAACUAAGAAGAAAAGAAGGAAAUAUAUCGUUUCACGGUUGUAACAAUAAGCCUAUAAGGUACAUUUUACAUACAUAUAUUCUAGCAUUUUACCAUUGCUGAAGCGAUAAUAACAUUAUAAAAUAUUUAUCGAAGCAAUGCAAUAUUACAAUGAUAAGAUUAACAGAAUUCUUUGUUCCAAACAUGAUAAUUCCUGAAUGUUUCCAAACCGUAUUAUGAAUCCAUCGUAAUUUCGAGUUAAUCUGGCUUUUAUCAUUUAACUGGCCGUCGUUCGCUAAUAAUUUUGUUUCGUACGCAUUUAACUCGACCUCCUCCAGAAAUUUUCGAAUACUUCCAUUCAAGAACCGUUUCAGCAGAGACCGAUGUGUGCAUGGUCAACACGGCCCUCUACGGUCGAACUCAGUCGCUCAAACGAUCGAUAACAGGACAUAGUAGCGUUUCUAUUUAUAUAGAAGUGCGGUUCGACAUAACCAGAGAUACAAUCCGCGAUACGUGCCAGAUAGAAUCUUCCCAUCCAAUUUUAGUCCGUAAAGCUUCAGAGAAUUACGUUACACGCGAAAUCUCGCGAAAGAAUCACUCGAUGAACCUCGCCACCGUGCACGGAACAAUAAAGGUUUUUAAAAUUACAUUAGAAAGCUAGAAAAUCGAAUUGUGAAUUUUCAUAAUUUUUGUUUGGCAUCAUGAUGCUUGGAAUUUAGCCAUUGUGGAUUAGAUUAUGUCAAUCGUAUUAAAAAUAGUGAUUCUUGUUUUUUCUAUAUUCGUGUAGAUGAUUCACGAAUAGGUAGUCUUACUUCGAUUUCGUUAUUUCGUUCGUUUAUCCUUUUAUAGCGAUGAGCGAGGAUGUUUCCGGACUUCGACGUAAUUUAUUAACGUUACAAAUGUUCGAACCGAUUGUGUGAUACAAGUCUAUAGAACAGAAAUAUAAUGAAAAUAGAAAGAAAACUUUUCUUGUCUUUUAUAACCUCGUGCCAAAGUACUUUACCCUACGGAGAGCGCUAGUUUGCGGAAAUUCAAUUUUCUUCCUUAUAACAUUAUACAAGACAGGUUCCCGAACUUAUGUUGUUUCUUUCACUUUAUCUUCCUUACUACAAUAUCAAAAUACGUGAAGUAUAAUUGGUUUUUACAAAACUGUAUUUAUCCUUUUUUUUCUUAAAAAUAGCAUUUUAUAGAAUUUGGAAAGUUCCAUAAAAUUCAUAUAAAUAAGAUAAAUAUAAAUAAAAGAUAAAUAUGGAUUUCCAUUUUUUAUAAACAAACACGGAAACCAAGAACACAGAACAGGUUUAAGAGACUCAAAUUCCUAAUCGACGUUUGCCACGUGUCUCGUCGUGGAAACAACAAAAUCUAAUUUCGGGGAAUUCGAUUGGCUUAGAAGCGUGACACCUGAUGAUAGUUUCGUUUGAAUUCCAGCGGGAGACUCGCGAUAACGAUACACGGAUCUUCUUGCCUCAGAUUACAAGUUCUUCGACGCGUUCAACCGCAAACGCGCAUAUUCUAUCAACCGCAACGGCGUUUAAGCAGGGAUUAAGUUUUAUCCGGGACCGGCUACGUCCACGUGUAACGAAUACAGUUUAAUACGUUCGAUUGUUCUCGCCUUGUUAUCUGUUUUAUUGUAUGUACGUUUGCGGAUUAUGGCGCAUGAAAGUGAAACAUUACCAUUUUUUACGAUUAUCCGAGAAAUACACAUUUAAUUUGUGUUAAGACGUAUUGAAAUUUACGGGUGGUACGUUAAUUCUUCAAAUAGAACUUGAUAAAAUGAGGCAAACAAGUUUCUACAGAUGUAAACCUAUCGUUUCGCAAAUACGGGAUGAUUAAAAUUAACUUUCACCGAUAAACUUAAACUGUCAACCAAUUAUUACGAUACUGGUAUUUUUGCGUUGCUUUUCUCUACAAUGUUCAAUAUAUAAACAAUAUUAAUCCGUUAAUAACACGAAAUAUGUACGCCAAUGUCGUGUGUUUGAUAAAAGCUAGAAUUGCGAAGUUUUGUAAUCUCUGCAUUGCAACGUAAAUAAAUAUAAUCGUAUUCAUUUAAAAAUAUUGGGAAAUAUUUAUGCAAAGAUUCAUUUUCAAAAGUGGUUUGUACAUAUUUUCGUUCUAGUUACAACGUAUGUCUAUAAUUCUCUGACAAUUUGUAUUUAUACACAAAGGAACUUCUUUCUAGUAAGGAAUGUCUAACACAUUUUAGACACACAAGAAUGCAAUCGUUUUCUUGUAAACUCCAGAAUAAUCUAGACAGACUAAGCAUGUUCGCGAAAGUUCCUACGGCAAACUGAUAAUAUUCUCGGAUAAGCGAUUAAAAAUAUUCAUACAAAAACUACUAAUAUGCUUGUAGCGUAUUUAUAAGUGCUCGACAAUAUAUCUAUAUAGAUUUCAUUAAUUCAUACAACUCUUAAAUGAAUUCUUAAUUUCUCGUAGAAUACCAUCGGUUAAAAAUCUUAUAACAUACUUCAUAUUACAUUACUACUUGUUAUAGGACGAUAAUCGGCGUCGCAUCACUUCGACAGCAACACUGAAAAGUCGGAUGGAACAAGCGUAUCCUUGACAAUGUGUGCUGAAUAUUCGGGUCACAUCCUCGAUCAGACUUCCUUCACCGGUAUGACACGCACACACGAGUAUAUGCGUCCAAAGAGGAGACACGUAAGGCCGAUUAGGCAGGGAUAUACAAACGUGUUCGGCGAAUUAUAACGAUUUAAAGUAGGACAUGUGCAUGUAUGUCUAUCGUAGCUCUCUUUGUCCACUCUUGCUCUCUUUUUCUUUCUAACCAUUUAGAAAUGAGGGAAAACGACCCUUCGCGAACAGGGAAACAGCUGUUGAGCGAUGAUGAGAAGAGGACGGAGGUCGGGAUUCGGAGAAUGGCAGAGAAGGCAGAUAGAGUGAAAAAAGAGGUUACCACCUGGCUUACCUGAAAACCGACGUCGGUAUACCUGCCCGAGCAUUCUUUUGUGCGGGCCUCGAGGCACGCACCCAUUCCCAUACGGCCAUAUUACAUCCUACAAAACUACAUGGCACAACGUUACUGUCGUGAUGCUGAGAAAGAUGUUUUAGGAAUAUAUUAGACGGCAGAAUGUCCUUGAUAUCGUGUACGUAUAUGAAGGUGCUCGUUCUUGCAUCGUCGAUGUCACUGACUUUCGCGUUCUGUGGGACUUUCGCAUAAGAUCGAUGCAUAGUUGACCAAUUCUCCCUCUUGUUAGACUAUACACGAUUUUGGACGAGUCCUAACUUGAUUACACCAUAAUUUAGAACUGGCAGUCAGAUUUUCCUCUAAGGGAGAUAAAGCGUUACACGUUAAAAAAUUGUUUCCGUUGAUGAUGAAUUCUGAUUCUUUGUAGAAUAUUUCAUUGUGAAGAUAUAAAAUCAAAAGACGUUGGUAUAGGUAAGACGAAGUGUCGCGUGCUUGAAUAAUUCAAGUACGUCUAAUGGCUAAUAUAUUAAAACGGCAUAUGGUUCGGUUGCACGCGUGUUUCUACUUUUUCUCGUACAGAACCAUUCGCUUCAGGGAUCAUUUCGUGCGGCCUCGUUUCCGGCUCGUGUGAAGCCAGAUGCAGUUUCUUUCCCGUUAAGUUUGUCGAAUCCGAGGAAUCGCUGAAUUCUCGUGACCGACCCUUCUCAAUUUUCUGAAUACACACCGAAAAUCCGGGCAGAUGGCAAAUGACCGUGGUACUCAAACCGUUAAUAUUAUCAGCAGCUCGUAACGAAAAGCGAAAUUGGAUUUUAUGAAAGAACAGCUGACAUGCUCGGACCCCUCUUCCAUCGUCCAACACGAUUUUAUCACGGUUUCGAAACUUUUUUCCCUGCAAUUGCGAAUAACUCUUUAAAUCUACCAAUAACUGUCUGCUGCAGUUUACAGAGUAAUAACAUUGCAAAUGUAUUGUACAAAUGCGUGAAUUUCUUACGAUACAAUAUUUUAGAACGAUUAGCUUAUAACCGAGUAUUUAUCGAAUAGUACUGAGUUACUUCUUU